RNAcentral lists this ribosomal RNA (483 nucleotides) under uncultured bacterium. Its description in RNAcentral is "bacterial SSU rRNA". It matches the Rfam family "Bacterial small subunit ribosomal RNA", at positions 28 to 524 of the family's 1533-position model. The record is from RNAcentral.
GACGAACGCUGGCGGCGUGCUUAACACAUGCAAGUCGAACGGUGACCCAGGGCUUGCCCUGGUGAUCAGUGGCGAACGGGUGAGUAACACGUGGGCAACCUGCCCCUGACUUCGGGAUAACUCCUCGAAAGAGGAGCUAAUACCGGAUACGACCACUUCGGACAUCCGAUGGUGGUGGAAAGUUUUUCGGUCAGGGAUGGGCCCGCGGCCUAUCAGCUAGUUGGUGGGGUAAUGGCCUACCAAGGCGACGACGGGUAGCCGGCCUGAGAGGGCGACCGGCCACACUGGGGCUGAGACACGGCCCAGACUCCUACGGGAGGCAGCAGUGGGGAAUAUUGCGCAAUGGGCGAAAGCCUGACGCAGCGACGCCGCGUGAGGGAUGAAGGCCUUCGGGUUGUAAACCUCUUUCAGCAGGGACGAAGCGAAAGUGACGGUACCUGCAGAAGAAGCACCGGCUAACUACGUGCCAGCAGCCGCGGUAAU